This 822-nucleotide ribosomal RNA is filed under the name Triticum aestivum (bread wheat). Its description in RNAcentral is "partial small subunit ribosomal RNA". The record is from RNAcentral. Lineage: Eukaryota; Viridiplantae; Streptophyta; Magnoliopsida; Poales; Poaceae.
UUGGCAGUUUUGUGCCAAGCUCGCCCGCCAAUUUAUGAAGGGGUAGGGCGCUAACCUUGGCAGGGACCUCCGCGAACGCAAAAAAGCCCUCCUAUCUGCCAUCCAGGCCUUGGACUCCCGGCGGACACUUCCGGGAUCUCCCCGGAUGAGUGGAUGUUGCGCUAUGAUCUUGAGGAUCAGCUCGCCACCAUCUAUACGGAUGAAGAAGCAUAUUGGAGGCUUCGCGGUACCCAGUGAUGGGUGCUGCGGGGCGACGCUAAUACGACAUACUUCCAAGCGAUCGCGAAUGGGCGGCAACGUCGGAACUCCAUCCACUGUUUGUGGUAUGGUGAUUCCUAGCUCGUCCGCCCCUCGGACAUCCGGGCGCACGUAGAUGGCUUUUACAAAGCCCUAUUCUCCCCCACCCUUCGAGGUGGGGCCGCUCAGGCAACCGACAUCUGGUCGGGCACCCAGCUUGUGUCUGAUGCGGACAAUGCCACCUUAGUUGCCCCGUUCUUCGAGGAGGAGGUCCUCGUGGCGAUUAAGGUCAUGAACGCCUCCUCGGUGCCAGGGCCGGAUGGACUGCCAGUGUCCUUUUUUAAAGCAUUCUGGCAGACCAUCAAACCUGAGGUCAUGGCUCUCUUCAACGAGUUUUUCUUGGGGACCAUGGAUCUUGGGCGCCUGAACUAUGGGGUUGUCACUCUUAUCCCCAGUUCCUGGGCGACGGACAUUUGCCAGUUCCGACCUAUCACUGUGAUCAAUGUGAUAUUUCGGAUCCUGGCCAAAGGGUACGCCAAUAGGAUGACCCUGCUAGCCAACUCAAUCACUCACCCCAACCAGUCG